Molecule: ribosomal RNA, 484 nt
Filed under: uncultured bacterium
Lineage: Bacteria
Description: partial 16S ribosomal RNA
Rfam family: Bacterial small subunit ribosomal RNA
Source: RNAcentral
AUUGAACGCUGGCGGCAGGCCUAACACAUGCAAGUCGAGCGGAAGAAGGGAGCUUGCUCCUGGAUUCAGCGGCGGACGGGGGAGUAAUGCCUAGGAAUCUGCCUGGUAGUGGGGGAUAACGUCCGGAAACGGGCGCUAAUACCGCAUACGUCCUGAGGGAGCAAGUGGGGGGUCUUCGGACCUCACGCUCUCAGAUGAGCCUAGGUCGGAUUAGAUAGUUGGUGGGGUAAAGGCCUACCAAGGCGACCAUCCGUAACUGGUCUGAGAGGAUGAUCAGUCACCUUGGAACUGAGACACGGUCCAGACUCCUACGGGAGGACGCAGUGGGGAAUAUUGGACAAUGGGGGAGAGCCUGAUACAGCCAAGCCGCGUGUGUGAAGAAGGUCUUCGGAUUGGAAAGCACUUUAAGUUGGGAGGAAGGGCAGUAAGUUAAUACCUUGCUGUAUUGACGUUACCAACAGAAUAAGCACCGGCUAACUUCGUG